This 242-nucleotide ribosomal RNA is filed under the name Gigaspora rosea. RNAcentral's name for it is "partial 18S ribosomal RNA". It matches the Rfam family "Eukaryotic small subunit ribosomal RNA", at positions 1591 to 1830 of the family's 1831-position model. The record is from RNAcentral. Lineage: Eukaryota; Fungi; Glomeromycota; Glomeromycetes; Diversisporales; Gigasporaceae.
UAUUGCUCUUCAACGAGGAAUCCCUAGUAAGCAUGAGUCAUCAGCUCAUGCUGAUUACGUCCCUGCCCUUUGUACACACCGCCCGUCGCUACUACCGAUUGAAUGGCUUAGUGAGACCCUCGGAUUGAUAAGUGGAAACCUUCACAGGUAUCCUUUUGUUGAGAAGUUGGUCAAACUUGGUCAUUUAGAGGAAGUAAAAGUCGUAACAAGGUAGCCGUAGGUGAACCUGCGGAAGGAUCAUU